This is a long non-coding RNA of Scylla paramamosain (green mud crab), 2396 nucleotides long. RefSeq lists it as uncharacterized. The transcript has 2 exons. The record is from RefSeq and is a predicted model, not a curated record. NCBI's taxonomy places the organism in Eukaryota, Metazoa, Arthropoda, Malacostraca, Decapoda, Portunidae.
AUCAUUAAUGAGUUUAAAUCUUUAUUCGGUGAUGUACCUAGAAGAACUGAUAUGAUUGUUCAUGAUAUAGAGGUAAAUGAUGCAAAGCCAGUUAAACAACAUCCAUACAGAGUAAACCCAGUUAAGAGAUAGGAUCAUGAGGAGAGAGGUACAGUAUAUGCUUGAUAAUGACGUGAUAGAGCCUAGCACCAGCCCUUGGAGCUCGCCCUGUGUUUUGGUGCCGAAGCCUGGAGGUGAUGGUUACAGGUUUUGCACUGAUUUUAGAAAAGUCAAUGCUUUGAUAAAAAGCGAUUCGUAUCCUAUUCCACGAAUCGAUGAUUGUAUAGAUCAGUUAGGAAAUGCUAGGUUUGACAAAAAAAAAAAAAAUUGCUGAAAGGUUUCUGGCAGGUAGGAUUGACUGAACGAGCUAAGGAAAUUAUAGUAUUUGUUACAAUGGACGGAUUUUUUCAGUACGGGAUCCUUCCGUUCGGGAUGAAGAACAGUUCUAGUUGCUUUCAGAGAUUAUGUCAGUAGUGUAUUAAAGGAUGUAGAGGAAUGUGCGGUUUAUUUUCAUGACAAUUUUGUAUUCUGAGGUUUGGGAGGAACAUCUAGUUUUAUUGAGGAAAGUGUUCCAGAAACUUGACAAUGCAAAUCUCACUGUAAACUCAAUUAAAACUGACUUUGUUAAAGCAUAUGUAGAUUUCACUCCACGACUAUUUAACUGACGUCACCGGUAGUCAACGAGAUGCCCGCGUCGCCAGUUCCACGUCAGUUCGCUGCUAGUCUCCACGCAGUUCACACAACCUGCAGCUGCUGCUCUACACUGUGCACUGUUACUGCCGCUCGUCGAUUAACUUGGCUACUUUUCACCGGCUUUCUCCAAGGAGUCAGCCCGACGAGUUAUGUCGGAUUGGGAUAAGGCCCCGGGAACGCCACGGCGUCCCUCCUCGCCUGCUUCUGGACGGAAACGACGUGAGAGGGACCCUCUGGAAGGCGAUGCCAAGCGUAGGAAGGUCUCCCGAGAUAGUUGCAAUACGCAACCAUCGGCCGCUGGUGCUUCUCAGCAGUCAGUCGCUGGUCCGAGCCACGUCAACGAUACGGCUGUGUCUCAAUCGAGUGAAGGCAACUUGGACCGAUUAUCUACCCUGCUGAGUGCCCUAAUUGACAAAUUAGACAAGCCGACAGCUCCUCCAGUGUCAUCGGGGGCCGAUUGUAGCGGGUUCCUUGACUUUUCCCCUUCUGAUGACGAAACAGCUGAAGCUUCCCCGUGUCUGCCCGAGCUUGAUCCGCUAGACAACCUCGACCGGCUCACCGCCGCACAGCCAACCGGUGAUACUGUGGUUGAUACUGGCUCCCAGAAGGCUCUUGAUAAGGUUGCUGGCCAUCUCCAUGGUGAGGAAGAAACAGGUGACCCUUUAUCUGACCGUCUGGCUGGCAUUCUUAAUGCGAGUCUGCGACGUUGGCCUUCCGUUGACUGCGUGAAGCUCACAUGUGAUAAGAUCAAGCUUCCGGGUAAUGUAUCCAACUUAAAGGUCCAACCGACCAAUCCUGCCAUCACCAAGGCAAUAAGUUUUGGUGGAAAACUGGUUGACACAAGGCUUUCACUUACUAAUAAACUAUUGACAAAGGCACAGGUCCCAGUUGCCCGUUGCAUCAAUGAUAUUGGAGAUAAGAAAGAUAAACCCUUAACCUCCUACCUUGUUGGUCUUAAUAGUAGCCUGAGGCUGAUAUUGGAGAUAAGAAAGAUAAGCCCUUAACCUCCUACCUUGAUGUUCUUAACAGCCUGAGGCUGCUAACUUCCGCUGUUAACUUCAUCAAUCAGCUACGGAAAGAGGUUGCGCAGGCUCACGUGCAUGAUUCUGCCUUGGCAGAGCUCUGUAAUUGGGACUAUGCGGUCGGCAAGGAUGACUUGUUCCCCUUUGAUGUCAUAAAGAAAUGUGAGGAAAUACACAAGUACAGAAAACUUGGGAGGCCCAACUUCCGUCCUUACAAAGCUCCUGGGAGACGGUUUGCUCCACCUCGCGAGUUACCUAGACGACCUUACCCUCAGCAGUCAAGGUCACGUCACCAGGCAAGGCUUUUUUUAGGCCAGAGGCCUCCCCACGGGAGGGGGAUGCCAAGACACAGAACUCCCCAGUGAGACUACCGUCGGUGACUUCCUUGUUAAUGCCUUUGGUUAGUACUCCGAAUAAUUUUUGUGGAGGAAAAAUUUUUGUUGCUAGGUUGCAGUGGUAUUGUCUCUCCUUAGAUAAAUGGAUUCAUGAUGUGGUACAUGGAAAAUUUUUAGUUUUUGUGAAUGUUCCCAUACAGAGGAUUUCACCGGCUCCUCUCAACUUGUCUCUUGCAGAUCAAAAAGCCCUGGAUUCUGCCAUGUUGAUGUUCUUGAGCAUAAAAUAGUAGAAUUAUGUGCCCCAGGG